GCACGCCGCCUCCGCCCGCCCUCCCUGUGCAGUUUGAGGCCUGACUCCUGGGUCACAAGGCCACCCCAAUUUCCUCUGCAAACAAGUGCCCUCCCCGGCAGCCAGCUUACCGCGCCCAGGCCCUGCUGGCCCCCUCACACCCUUCUCUUCAUUCCUGGGGUUUGGUGGGUUCCCGGGUCGUCGAAGGCAUUCAUGAACCCACUUCUCAGACGGGGACACGGAGGCUCUUGCUGAAUCCCAGGUCAUGUGGCAAUGUAGGGGCCCCCUCUGCGCCCACCUCCUACGACCCCCCAAGUCCUUCCCACACCCACCUCUACAACGCCCCUCCCUGCCCCACCCCCGUGUCCCCGUCCCCGGCUCCCUGGCCAUCCUCACACCCACCCCCCAGCAGUCCGCAACAAGCUUCUGAGUGAAGACCCGUGUUUAAAUAAGAAAUGGUCCUUGGACGGCCUGGGUCCCUUUAAGAGCCUGAAUCAAGAGAGGAGAGGAACCCCCGUGGAGACAGAUGACGGGUCGAGCAGAUAUUGGAAGAUGGAAAUCGAUGGGGCAGGAAAGCCAAGGUUCGCUGAGCGUUCAAGGACCAGCUGGACCCUGCGCUGGACUCUGGGCUGGGGUCCCUCCAAGCCCCCUAAGAGGGGUUCCACCGCUGGGCCCAUUUUAAAGAUGAGCCACAGAGAGGUUGAGUCAUUUGCUCCAAGGUCACAGAGACACCGCGGAAGAAGCUGGAGGGUGGGACUGGGGGAGCACCCCCCCCCCGGAGGGGGGGCUGAGACCCCCAAGUGGCUGCUCCUAGAUGAGGCUGGGGUCCCCAGAGUCGAGGUGCCUGGGAGCUGUGCUCAGGACCAGCCAACAGCUUGGGGCACACGGGACAGGGCCAGCCCCACCCCCUGCCGUGGUUGGGAGGCUCUCAAGUUGGAGGGGGGCCCACCACCCCUCAGGGAGCCUUGGAGCAGGAACAGCUGCCCCACCCCUGCCCUGAGGCCAGCCCCAGACGAGGAGCAAAGCCAGGGGAACCUUCUGACUUGGCUCCUGCUGAUUCCAUGGGCCCGCCCUCCCUUCUCAAGUUCCAAGCCCAGAGCAGAUCACACGCCUCCUCAUGACGGGAGAGGGCACACAUGGAGAGGGAGCUGAGAGGCUCUGGGGACAGCGGGGGGGGCACACGAGCCUCCCCAGGGGCCUGGACCAACCCGAUCUUGUCUUCAGGUCAUUGCAACCGAAUUCCCUGGAUUUUUGCUGUCCUCUGCUUCCCACAGGGCGCUGCUCACAGGUGGGCAGGGGUCCAGCUCCUGCAGCCACUGCCCUCCCCUCCACCUGGCCACCCCUCCCACUGCCGGGCAGCAGGAGAAGGGAAGAGGUGGCAGCCCCAGCCAGGGGCAUGUCACCACAGGGCCUCCUCCCAAAGAUAGGUGGUCACUCCCAGAAGCAGCCACCUGUGCACGAUGGCAGCUGAGACCCUGGGUGGGGCAGAUGGGCAGCGGCAGACUGCGGUGCUGGGUGGGUCCCCACCUGGGCGGGUCGCCACCCUCUGUUGUGCCCACGGCAACUUUUUUUUUAAUUAAAAUAUAGUUGAUUUACAA
Phacochoerus africanus (Common warthog) is the source of this 1577-nucleotide long non-coding RNA. RefSeq lists it as uncharacterized. The transcript is spliced from 2 exons. NCBI's taxonomy places the organism in Eukaryota, Metazoa, Chordata, Mammalia, Artiodactyla, Suidae. The record is from RefSeq and is a predicted model, not a curated record.